RNAcentral lists this ribosomal RNA (480 nucleotides) under uncultured bacterium. RNAcentral's name for it is "partial 16S ribosomal RNA". It matches the Rfam family "Bacterial small subunit ribosomal RNA", at positions 28 to 507 of the family's 1533-position model. The record is from RNAcentral.
GACGAACGCUGGCGGCGUGCUUAACACAUGCAAGUCGAACGAUGAAGAAAAGAAUCGAAGCUUCGGCAGAAAUUCAUUUCGGAUUAGUGGCAGACGGGUGAGUAACGCGUGAGCAACCUACCUCUUACAAAGGGAUAGCCUCGGGAAACCGGGAUUAAUACCAUAUAACAUUGCGACGAAGCAUUUCGAUGCAAUCAAAGCUACGGCGGUAAGAGAUGGGCUCGCGUCCCAUUAACCGGAUGGUGAGGUAACGGCUCACCAUAGUGACGAUGGGUAACCGGCCUGAGAGGGUGAACGGUCACACCGGAACUGAGACACGGUCCAGACUCCUACGGGAGGCAGCAGUGGGGAAUAUUGCACAAGGGAGGGAACUCUGAUGCAGCGACGCCGCGUGAGUGAUGAAGGAAUUCGUUUCGUAAAACUCUGUUCUAUGGGAAGAAAAGGACUGUACCAUAGGAGAAAGCUCCGGCUAAAUACGUG